This 495-nucleotide ribosomal RNA is filed under the name uncultured bacterium. Its description in RNAcentral is "partial 16S ribosomal RNA". It matches the Rfam family "Bacterial small subunit ribosomal RNA", at positions 28 to 507 of the family's 1533-position model. The record is from RNAcentral.
GACGAACGCUGGCGGCGUGCCUAAUACAUGCAAGUAGAACGCUGAAGGAGGAGCUUGCUCUUCUGGAUGAGUUGCGAACGGGUGAGUAACGCGUAGGUAACCUGCCUGGUAGCGGGGGAUAACUAUUGGAAACGAUAGCUAAUACCGCAUAACAGUAGAUGUUGCAUGACAUUUACUUAAAAGGUGCAAUUGCAUCACUACCAGAUGGACCUGCGUUGUAUUAGCUAGUUGGUGGGGUAACGGCUCACCAAGGCGACGAUACAUAGCCGACCUGAGAGGGUGAUCGGCCACACUGGGACUGAGACACGGCCCAGACUCCUACGGGAGGCAGCAGUAGGGAAUCUUCGGCAAUGGACGGAAGUCUGACCGACCAACGCCGCGUGAGUGAAGAAGGUUUUCGGAUCGUAAAGCUCUGUUGUAAGAGAAGAACGAGUGUGAGAGUGGAAAGUUCACACUGUGACGGUAUCUUACCAGAAAGGGACGGCUAACUACGUG